Molecule: ribosomal RNA, 911 nt
Filed under: uncultured Chlorobiota bacterium
Lineage: Bacteria; Pseudomonadati; Chlorobiota
Description: bacterial SSU rRNA
Rfam family: Bacterial small subunit ribosomal RNA
Source: RNAcentral
AGAGUUUGAUCCUGGCUCAGGACGAACGCUGGCGGCGUGCCUAACACAUGCAAGUCAACGAGAAAGGGGUAGCAAUAUCCCGAGUACAGUGGCGCACGGGUGAGUAACACGUAGGCAAUCUGCCUUCAGGACGGGGAUAAUUUCGCGAAAGCGGGACUAAUACCCGAUUAUGCAGUGGCACCGCAUGGUGACAGUUGUUAAAAGCCGCAAGGCGCCUGGAGAUGAGCCUGCGUCCCAUUAGGUAGUUGGCGGGGUAACGGCCCACCAAGCCCGCGAUGGGUAGCUGGUCCGAGAGGAUGGCCAGCCACACUGGAACUGAGACACGGUCCAGACUCCUACGGGAGGCAGCAGUGAGGAAUAUUGCGCAAUGGCCGAAAGGCUGACGCAGCGACGCCGCGUGAGGGAUGAAGUCCGUUAGGAUGUAAACCUCUUUUGCAGGGGAUGAAGCUGCCGCUACAGGCGGCAGUCGACCGUACCCUGCGAAUAAGGGUCGGCUAACUACGUGCCAGCAGCCGCGGUAAUACGUAGGACCCGAGCGUUGUCCGGAUUUACUGGGUGUAAAGGGCGUGUAGGUGGGCGCUUAAGUCGAUGGUGAAAUCCUGCGGCUCAACCGUAGAAUUGCCGUCGAUACUGGGCGUCUUGAGUACGGCAGAGGGAGAUGGAAUUCAUGGUGUAGCGGUGAAAUGUGUAGAUAUCAUGAAGAACACCGGUAGCGAAGGCGGUCUCCUGGUCCGUUACUGACACUGAGGCGCGAAAGCGUGGGGAGCAAACAGGAUUAGAUACCCUGGUAGUCCACGCCUUAAACGAUGGGUACUAGGUGCUGGGCCGCAAGGUUCAGUGCCAAAGCUAACGCAUUAAGUACCCCACCUGGGGAGUACGAUCGCAAGGUUGAAACUCAAAGGAAUUGACGG